GUGUCUGUAGCUCAGUGGAUAGAGUGUCUUGUUUCUAACAAGAAGGUCGUGGGUUCGACCCCUACCUAACGCG
This 73-nucleotide transfer RNA is filed under the name Spinacia oleracea (spinach). It matches the Rfam family "tRNA". From Rfam's summary of the family: Transfer RNA (tRNA) molecules are approximately 80 nucleotides in length. Their secondary structure includes four short double-helical elements and three loops (D, anti-codon, and T loops). The record is from Rfam by way of RNAcentral. Lineage: Eukaryota; Viridiplantae; Streptophyta; Magnoliopsida; Caryophyllales; Amaranthaceae.